Molecule: unclassified non-coding RNA, 300 nt
Filed under: Hevea brasiliensis (rubber tree)
Lineage: Eukaryota; Viridiplantae; Streptophyta; Magnoliopsida; Malpighiales; Euphorbiaceae
Source: RNAcentral
UCAUAUAUCACCUAUCAAUUUAUUCCACAGCAUACAGAAAACUGUUCAACUAUGAAUAUUUGUGUAUUAGACUAUCUCGUGAAUCAAAGUUUCCAAAAGUAACUACCACACAUCAGUAAAGCCAGGAUGCUCAAAAAAGAUUGAACAGAACAAAAGUAAAGUUAUAGCACAAGUCCAGAACUUGAGUUAGACAUGUAUGCUUAAGAAAAAUGACAGAAAUCAUUAUUCAGUAUAGGAGUUGGUACUCUUCUCUUGGAUGCAUUAGUUGAUUCCACUUAUGUGACCAAUAGUUCAGGUGAG